Molecule: long non-coding RNA, 28480 nt
Filed under: Olea europaea (common olive)
Lineage: Eukaryota; Viridiplantae; Streptophyta; Magnoliopsida; Lamiales; Oleaceae
Description: long non-coding RNA (OEUR_LNC003103)
Source: RNAcentral
UGGGCCUUCAGUUACUGUGGAUAUGUGAGGGGCAAUUUUCCCCCUCGUCGAGGAAAACCUCCUCCAAAUAAGGCGGAACCAGAGACGGGUGUCCAGGAUGGUGCAAAUUUAAUGGAUCCUGUGAUGAGUCUCCUGGGUGCAACAUCAAUGGAAGAACUUGCAGAAUCAAUUGAACAACUGUUGCGUAACUUGAUCCUUCAUCAUAGAAGUGCAAUACCUCCACUCACUCCUUCAUCUGAUAGAGAUCCGAUAACAGAACUGUUAGCUAUGCUGUUCAAUUUGCCUACUUACUUGAAAGGAAUUCUGGGCAUAGAUCCAUUUGCCAUAGCACAAAAUGUUGCAGACCUUACUCCCGUGGGAGGAAUUCUGGGCACACAACCAUUUUCUUUGGCAAACCAGUUUACAAACCUUACUUCCUCCACAGGAGUUCUGGGCACAGAUCUUAGUUCCUUGAUACGAAUUAUUACCACAGAAAUACCAGUUGUUGUGGCACACAUUUUUCCUUCCCUUACUUUCUUGAUACGAACUCUGCGCACAGAACUAUGUGUUACCGAUCCUGCCGCAGGAGAUCCGGGCAGAGAACCAUAUAUUGUGGCACACAAUUUGAUCCUUGCUCAUGCACACGCGGUUAAUAUAUACAGGAAAAAUUAUAAGGUUUUCAUUUUAACAUUUCACCCAUAAAUAUAAAUAUACACACACACACACUUGAAGUUUUAUAACAAUUAAUUGAUUAUAAAUAUUAACAAAUUUGAACAUACAGGAUCACCAAGGAGGCACAAUAGGAAUGACGAAUGUUUCAAAGUGGUAUUAUCCAUAUAGGGACAUCCCAGAGGAUGUAGAGGCUGCUUCGAGGGGGGUCGAUUUUAUGUUAGGAUGGUAAUUAGUUUUUUCGUUUAGUUUAUCAUUACUACGAGUGAUUUUUCUGCAUCUCUAUAAAUUUUUACCUUUCCAAAUGCCUCGGAAGUUUGUUAAAUUGGAUUCCAUUAUCAAAAAAUUCUUCUCGUCCUUUAUUAUCCUUUAACCUGUUUUUACAUUUUUGGUGUUUGUAUAUUGUAUAAACCAUGUGCUCUUUUCCCAGAAUUCAUGAGAUUUCAUUUUUGUAGAAUUUCAAGCAGGAUAUCUAAUCAUAAUUAAUUUUUUUUUUCACACAUUUAUCCCGUUUCAGGUUUGUAGCCCCUGUAAUAACAGGAGAUUAUCCACCAUCCAUGAGAAAAAAUGUAGGAGAACCUCUUCCCAUAUUUACACCAGAGGAGGUGAAGCUAGUGAAAGGUUCAUGUGACUUUUUGGGAAUAAAUUACUAUACGUCUAAUUAUGCCAAAAAUAUACCUAAAAAGCGUUGUUCACGACCACAUUAUGACAAUGAUCGGCACGUUGAAGAUCAUAGUGAGUAUUAAGACCCUUUCUUGAGUUCAGUUAUAUUUUUUUAUCUUGACAUAAAGGAGACACUACAUGAAGCAAUAUAUUUACUUCUCAUUCUUUUGUAGCUCAUCGUAAUGGGAAGCCGAUUGGUGAACAGGUGAGUCAUUAACGUUACCCUUCCGUGAGGAAAACAAAAAUAGAAAUUGGAAUUUAUUAUUCUAAUAAUGUAGGCAUAUCAACAAUUUAUGGCGAUGCAUUGUCUUGUCAUAGAUUCGGAAUACAUAUUGUGGUUUACAUAAUUUCCAAUGCUUACGUAUAUUCUAAUGUUAAUAACAAUCUUUUUUACAUCGCACCAGGGUGGCUCGUCAUGGUUGUACAUUGUUCCAGAAGGAAUUUACCAUCUUAUGCUUCAUAUAAAGGAAAGAUAUAACAAUCCAGAGAUUUUUAUUACAGAGAAUGGUAUAUAUGCUCAUAUUUAUUAGUUUAUUUACAUAUAGCAAGAAUACAUACAAAUUUUUCAGAUAAUUUAAUGGUUUGUUGAAAUCCUCCAUGGUCUUUUGUAGGGGUGGAUGAAGUUAACAAUAAAGCCAUAACAGUUACAAAAGCUCGUGUUGAUGAAACAAGGAUGAAGUAUCACAGGAGCCAUCUGGCAUACCUUAAAAAGGCAAUGGAGUAAGUCACCAAUUUUUUCUUUUUCUUUUUUUUUUUUUGGAAUAUACAAUAGUUCAAUUAGAAAAAAAAUUUUGUAAGUUUUGAAAUUAAGUAACUAAUUUUCUUCUGUUUUCAGCCAUCAAGUGCGCGUGAAGGGUUACUUCAUAUGGUCAUUGCUUGAUAAUUUUGAAUGGGCCCAGGGUUACAAUUCUAGAUUUGGCAUUUUUUAUGUGGACUACGAGAAUGGACGUUUGACAAGAUUCCCAAAAACCUCAGCUGUAUGGUGGAUGAAUUUCCUUGAAAAUCCUAAGAAUCCAUGGAAUAGACUUCCAUUGAAGCUACAGGAUGUUGAAACUGAAGAAGAACGACAUGGUCCUGCAAAAAAGCCAAGAAGCGGCCUUGCUUAAAGUCAACAAUUACUAUUUUACUGCUUCCUUACUGAAUUAUAUUGUUGAAUAAUGCUAGCAUGGAUGCAUGCUUGAUGUUCCUUUAGUUUCUGCCUUAAUUCUCUCCUGGUAAGAGAAAUAAAUAAAUGCUGUAACUUAAUAGUCAUUAUGCUCAAAUAAUUGGAACCCUCUGAGGCUCCAAGUGUAACUCUCUUGUUUUCAGUUUGUGCAAUAAAAGAUUUGAGACCGGCUUUCUCCAUUUCUUGUAAAUUAGUAUAUUAUUUGUUCUUUUUAAUUAUUGAAAGUUGCUGCAGGCCUCCUACCUUUGCAAUGUAUGAAUUGAUCUUUAACUUACCUAUUUUGUUAAUGUCAUUCUCAACCUUUCCAAAUUGGGAUUGUCACUAGUUCCAUAUCCCAUAUCCAGUUGAAACUUAUAUAGAAGGAUUUUAUUCUUGUCAUACCACUUGACUUAUCUCAUCAUAUGGGUGGUGAUUGCUUAAAUUUUGCAAGUGUAUGGUCUCGUAGUCAAAUUAUAUGGUGUGAGAAAGUAUCGCUUCCACGAGAACAAAGUACUUAAUUUGAUUUCAAUUAAUAUUAACUCUAAUCGAAUAGCACAAUUUUGAUAAUAACUAAUUUAAUAUAUAACUAAGUGUAAAUCUGUUAAACUACUAAAAAGGAUUUAUGAACUAGAUGAUCAAUGUAGCUACUUCAUUUAAUAAUCUCUCUAGCAAUAAUAGACAUAUCCUCACAUGUGAACCUAUAUAUCUCAGUGAGGAUUGUGAACAUGUGAAAAUGCAUUUAAUCACUAGAACAUAUAAUUAAAUCAUGCAAAUCAUACAUGCAUAUCUUUAUCCUCUAUUGGACUCUAAUUGAUCAAUAUCACAUGCUAAUCCUUAUUCAUCCUCUAGAUUAAAAUAAGAAUCAAGAUCAAUUCAAUUAGGGAUUAAUUAAUUAAAAGGAUUAAUAUAAUAAUAAUAACUAUUCAAGCUAAACAAGUAGCAACGUCAAAGACUUGAAAUUGAGAUUAAAUAUCACUACAGAUCGUUCAUCGCCAUCCGAGUGACUAGAAAAUUUAGUCGAGCGUCAUAAAUUAAUAAAAAUGAAAGAUGGAAUAUUGAGACAUCACCCCACUUUUAAUUAUAGAAAGAAAAAGGAAAAAUAAUCUUGAACUGUUGAAUUUAUUCAAUGAUUCUCAACCAAUCCUCGUAUAUCUUCUUCUUCACCCAAAAUCAAUUGUUAAUUUAUUGUCUUGUGUAGGAGUAAUCCAAACACUAGAAUCUACACAUUGCAUCCCCUCUUAAUUCUAUUAAGUAUGAUAUACUUUUGGAGAAAAAAUCCAAGUAAAAAAAUCCCAUCACAUGAUGUUGCCUCACAUACAACAACAUUUUAUUUUGGACCCGCUCGUGUGACAAAUCUAACCAUAGUACUAUAUUUGUAGCCAUUACACUGGCCAGGCUAGAAGGUGGUAUGCGAUCAAAUUAUACUUUAGUCUGAAAAUCACAUGCAUGCUUUUAGGACUUACAUUUGGAUCCAUCUGCCGAGGGUAAUGUUUGCGUUUCAAAAAAAAAAAAAAAUAAUAAUAAUAAUAAAAAAUAUAUAUAUAUAUAUUACCAAAAUUAUUAGUAGAACGAAUGUGACACCUGAUUAAAGAAGCAAUAUAAAAUUAUUAUUCACUUUCACUUCUUUUUUUUCUUUUUUUUUUUUCUUUUUUCUUUUCUUCUUCUUUUUUUUUCCACUUUCAACUUAUAGGAUGUUAAGUUCCUUAAAUGAAGUUUUGUUCUAUCAUUUUUUUUUCAGGUGCGCACUGGGUAAACCCUCGGACUGACGCAAUAGUCUGCAAGCCAUGACAGUUAGGUAAACCGCACUAGGCAAGCCCGAUGCGACAGACUCGAUCGAGAAAAUGUUGGUAGGAGGAAUCGAACUAGUAAACAAAGGCCUCUGCGCUCACCAGGGGCGGACGCAGAAAUUUUUAGUUAGGAGACAUAAUUAAACUUUGUACAAAUCGAAAACUUUGUUCUUGAUUUUUGACUGAUUUAUACUCGAACUGAGAAAAUGUAGAUUUACAUUUUAAAAAUUUUUCUUUAUUAAUAUUUUGCUCAUCAUUUUCAUUCUUUUGAUUUCGAAUAGUCAUUUUAUUAAUAUUUUGUUCAUCACAAGAACGUAUUUAAUACAAACAAUCAAUUCAAGUGAUCGAAAGAAAAAAUAUAUUACCAAUAUUCAAUCAAAUAAAUACAAUUCUUUAAAUUGGAUAUAAUCAGUUCGAUACAUUCUAGGUACACAAAUAAGAUAGGAGAAAAUGUCAAUUUAGGUUUUAAUUAAUUGAAAUUUUGAUAGGAAAGUGAAAAUUUAUAGUAAAUGUGAUAAUUUGUAGAAAAAUUAUGGACAAAUUUUUAAAAAUUAGAAGGAUUAAAGUUUUGAUAAAAAAGUGUGAGAGAGAGCGUAAGAUAUAGUAAGAGAAAAGAGAGAAAAAAUUCAAAUUUAUUGUGAUUUUGCCCCUGUUUAGUAGAGUUUUAAAAUCAGAUUUUUAGUAUAUUUUGAUAAAAGUAAAAACUUUAAGGAUUCCAUGAAAUAUGUUAUUAAAAUUAAUUGCAAACUUUGAUUUAGAUUAAAAUUUAAAUUUCAAUUGAUACCCAAACAUGACUUAUCCAUACACAGGAAGGGGAAAAAAAAAUCAAAAAUCAAAGGUUGUGGGGUCACCUAACCCCCCUUGGGUCCGCCCAUGGUGCUCACCUACUCCACAAACUCGACCACCCCAUGAGGGGUAGUUUUAUUCUAUCUUUAGUUAAUUGAAGUGAGACACAAUCAUAAAGAUACAACAUGUAAAAAAAAAAAUUAAAAAAUUAAAAAAUUAAUCAUAACCCCCGUGUCUAUUAUAGGUUUUGAUUGAAGUUCCUCACUUUUAUAGUGUUUGUCGUUUUUUUUUUUUUUUUAAAUUUCCGUCACUUUUUUCACUUUAUUGAAUUUCUAUCACUUUCAACUCAUAGAGCAUUGUGUUCGUAAAAUGAAGUGAAACAUGUAGAGAAAAAUCAACCACCCGUGGAUCUAUUCUAAGGCUUUGAUUUGUGUUUCUUGCUUUUGGGAAUGUAUGUCAUUUUUUAAUUAAAAAGUGACACUUAACUUUUCAUAAUAUUUUUCACUUUCAAAAUACUUUUCAUAUGAUUUUUCAAAAGAACCUGUAAUUUUAAGGAUAUUUUGUAAAUUCCCCUUCUAGCAAACCAAUGGUUAGCCCAUAAGACCAAUGAACCUAUUCUACACGUUUAAUUGAAACUCAUCACAAUAUUAAUGCUUCAUCCCAUUUUGUUCCUACAAAAACAACACUAAUGUAAAUUUUUAGACGUACACAUUGUGAUUCCAAUUUUUAUUUUCUUCACUUCAUUUCCUAUUGAAAUCUUUACCUUGCUCAUUUCUAUUCACUGUACGCAAUAUCAUUUUAAUUUCCCUUUGCUGCCUUUAAUUUUUUCUUUUCAAUUGUUUCCACCAUUUCUUUACCCUAUAGUGCCAUAUCACCUUUACUCUACAAGGAAAAUAUAUAAAAAAAAAAGGUCAAUUUAAAAAUUGGAAUCUCAAUCUUUUUAUUUCAAACAAGUUAUUCCUCAUCCUUUCCUCUAUAUUUUUUGUAUUUUUUAAGCUUGCUUAUAUUUUCACUAUUUAUAAGAGAAUGGUAUUUACUAAAUUCAGCUCUUUAAAAGCAUUUGUCAUUGACGGGAUGUUGAGCACACAUCACGUCUUCCAUUUCAGUCCAAUGAAGAAUGGAAUUUUCCCUUUCGUUUCUGAGAAGAUGUAUAAUUAUAAAAUUCAUUUGGAUUAUAUUUUGGAGUAAAAACAUGGACUCGUGUAGAUCCAGGUGUCCUUUGCCUGUGAAAAUGAGCACUAUCUGCACCUAAAUAAAAAGACCCUAUAAAACUUUAAUGUUCUCUUUGAUUAGGUUUGGGCUAGUCAACUAUUGACGAAAUGCAUUAAAAUAAUUUCUUCCUCCUUUUCUUAAACACAAACAUUUUAAAAAAUAAAUAAUCAUUUUCAAUAAAAUUAAUCAUUGACAUGAAAUUCAAAAUACUACAUUCGAUUUAAACUGGGCUUUCUAACUACCUAUUCACAGUGAGUUAUUUAAUUAUAAUUAAAAAAUUUAAAUUCUUUCCUGUUAAAUUUUUUUUUUUUACUAAUCCAACAUCUUAACUUCCCACUGAUUGAGAUAAAAAAAAAAAAAAAGCGCAAUAUUAAUUUAAAAACCGCUCCACUAAAUGACUGAAAUUGUACUCCAUGAUUGCAAAUUUACUUCAAUAAUUAAGAAUUCAAUCCAUAUCAUUCCAUUACCCAAUUAAAUUGGUAACAAGUUCCAUUAAUUCAGUUUUUAUUUUAUCCUUACACCUUUCAGUUUCCCAUAAAUCCAAAAUCAAUAUUCUCGAACAGUAGAAACAUAUUUAAUGUUUAUUCACUCAUGCGCAAGAAUAUCUAUUCACAACUAGAAACCAUCCAAUGAAUAUCUCAUGCAAAUUCUACAAUACUUGAAGAGUUAUAAUUUAAUAAAUAUUUUCAAGAAGUCAAAAAUUUAUCGACUUAGUAUUUCAAAGAGCAACCCAAAUAGAAAAUAUCUGUAAACAAAAAUUAUAAAUAACUCAAGAUGCCUAAUUGGGAAAAUCUAAGAAAGGCCAAGAAGUAAUGAGAAGGAAGUAAAGAAUGACUUAAAGCUGCAUACAUAUUUUAUCUCUGUACUUGCAUUUACUUUAAUAAAGAAGUAUUUAUGCCUUUCCCCAUUAUAUUAUAAUUACUUUGUGCUUCUUGUCAAAUUGUAUGGUAUAAGCAUUCAAAAAUCCAGUUUAUAAAUAGAGUGCAUGAACUAGAGGAACCGCACACUUCUCUCAACUAACUAUAAUAUCUCAUCUUGCUCAUUCCAAUGGAGUCCUCCCAAUCUUAAGUUAAACGCUCUAAUUUUCCCAAGAAUUUUAUUUUCGGUGCUGCAACAUCGGCAUAUCAGGUGUGUAACUAACUAGUUUAUAUUUUCAUAUACCGUAUCAAGCAAUAAUGAAAAAAGAAUGGACAAGAUUUUAAUUUUUUUUACUUUAUUAUCACUGUCCUUUAUUAUUACAUACACCUUAUCAAACAUACCACGUAUGUUUGAAAAUAAUUAAAAUUCUCUAACAUCAUCAUCAAAAUGCAAGACUACGUAUCUAAGAGAUUUGUGAUGGACCAACCAACUCCGUCGUCACAUCUAUAUGUGUAUUCAAUGUAACAUUACUUAAGUUUUUCAUAUUGUUAAGUCAGAUGGAUUCCACCCAAAUCUAGGUCAAAUGGUCUAAUUUUUAUAAGGUUUUAUCUUAGGUGCUACAACAUCAGCUUAUCAAGUGUAUGUAAUUGGUAUGUUGUAGUAUGUUUCAUCAAAUAGUAUUGGACCGAAAGGACAAUACUUAAUCUAUUAUUACUUCAUUAAUAUUGUCCAAUAUUAUUAAAACACACCUUAUCCAAUAUUACGCUAAUGUUUGAAAAUAAUGAAGAAUCACUUAAACCAUCAUGAGAACGCAUGAAUGCAUAUGUUAGAAGGUCCAUUCACAUGUAAUAAUUUGGUUGUUUCUUCUUAAUUUCUGGAUAUAUAAUUUCUUUCAUGGAUUAUGUAUUUAAUUACUGCAGGUCGAACGUGCUUGGAACGAAGGUGGUAAAGGCAGGAGUAAUUGGGACGUUAUGACUCUACAUUCACCUGGUCUCUCUCUCUCUCUCUCAUAUUUAUUAAUAUGUUGAUGUUAAUCCUACGUAGACUAAAUAUAAAAAUAUUAACCAACAUAUAAAAACUACUUCUUUUAACAAUGUUGACCCUUUAAGAUGAAAUUUCUAUUCUCAUAUAGAGCCAACAAGCUCAAACAAGCUAUAUGAUCCAUCUGAAGCUAGGGAUGUCAAUCCUGCUCGAGCGGCCCACGUCUCGGCCCAUAAAAAACUUGAGUUGAGGCAAGGCUCGUGGCUUGGUGGAACUGUUUUACCUUUUUUUUUUUUUCUUUUUUUUCAUUCGGGAUAUAGAUUAGUCAUGUAUUUGUUUUUACUUGAUUUUUUAUUUUACGUUUUUGGGUCAUUUUAUUGAUUACUUCUGCUAUCUAUUAUUAAUAUCGCGAUGAACAAGAAAAUCUCUUCUUUUUCCUUUUUUUUGCCCCCAGCUUUCUGCCAUUUCAAAGAGGGUUUAGACAAAUUUUUGUCAACAUUUAUUCAUCUAGUGAAUUACAAGAUAGACUUCUUGGUAUACUCAUGGAUAAAUCCGAUGCCGUUUAGAUCCAUCAUUUGAGUAAUUCAUAGCUAUUGGCGCACAUUAUAGUAGUUAUGGCGGAAUGGUGGAUCACAGCCAGGUCAAGGUGUGGAAAUUUUUCCAUCCAAGAUAGGGUCCCUAAAACUGAUGCUGUUACAUGGGAAUUUGGAUAUUUGUGUUAACGAAGCUCAAAAUCUCCCAAACAUGGAUUUAUUCGACAAGAAGCUAGUGAUAUUUGCUUCAGGUGGUGCCUGUAGGCUGCUGCCAGUAUAAAUUAUAUUAUAAAAUAAAAAAAGAGUAGGCUCGGGCUCGCCCCAAGUCUAAAAGCUAGAGCCGAAAAACCUCAAGCCGUUUUAUGCUCAAACUGCACCCGAACCGUGAUCUUCAACUCAAAAGCCCGCUCGACCCAACUUGUUUACAUAUCUAUUUGAAGCUCUCAAACAAGCAUUUGGAUUUUAAGAAUGAUGUUUCAAGCUAGUUCACUAUCCUAUGGAGGCACGUUAAAGCAUAAUCUCAUAUCAGUUAUAUAUAAAAUAUUAAUCAACAUAAGGACUCGUGCUACUCAUUUUAAUAAAAUUAAAGUUUUAGGACAAGACCCCUCAUUCUUAAUAAUAUACACAUAAGCACGUGUUAGUAUAUACAUAUACAAGAAUUGUACUUGUGUUUUUAUACAAUGAUCAUUGGUGAGCAUAUAUUUAUGUUUACUAAUUGGAGUGGCAGAUAGCACUGCGGAUGGUAGAAAUGGGUGCGUCGCUCUUGAUCACUAUAACUUGUUCAAGGUAUAUGUACUUCAUUUAAUUUUCUUGUGGCAAAGUGAUGGUAAUUACUUUAGUGGACUAAUAUAAAUGGAAAAUAAUCUCAAAUCUAAGAAGUAAUAAGAGGAACUUUAGAGUGUAUUUGAGCCACAUUCUUUUUAAAGAAUGUAUUUUGGAAUAUUUGAUUGGUGGAGAAUGUGUGGUUAAAAAUGAAGGAAAAUUUUUUGAUUUGUGUGUAAUAUUAGUUUAACAACUGAAGAGAAAAUGAAUUGGACUUUCAACUUUAAAUGAAUUAAGAGGACAUUAUAAAAAAUGUCCAUUUUGACAUAAUCAUUGGCAAAAAUGUCCAAAAUUUUUUAAUGUCUAUUUUUGCAAUUAUUUGGACGAGAGUACUCCUAAGUAGCUUCCAUAAAAAGUUACAUUAAAAUGAUGUUCUGGACAUUUCAAAUGUCGUUUUUGAUAUUUGAAUUCAUUUAUAUUUCAAAAGUACACAUGUCAAAUCACAAUAUUAAAUGUUCUCGAUAUUUCAAACAUUGUUCUCGACAUAUUAAAUGUCUAAAAGGAUAUUUCAUUUCAAACAUGAUAUUUCUCUACACUUUAAAUGUUGAUCUCGAUAUUUCUGUGUUUGGCAUUAAUUGCAAUUUGACAUAUGCAAUAUGAAGUUAUUUAUUCUCUCAUAAAGGGUAAAAUAGAGGAUUUGGUAUCAAAUUUGGCCAUUUUUGCAAAGAUUAUCAAAAGUGGACAUUUUCGAAUUAAUAUAUGUAAAAUUGGACAUUUUUUGCCAAUGUGUCAUGAAUUAAAUGAUUCUUGGUAAGCAACAAUAACAUUAAUUCGUCCCCAAUAUUCAAAAUGAUAAAUUCAUGACCACCAUUUCGAACCUAACGUUUAAGAUGUGUUGAUACUUUGUUAGCACUUGAAGUCAAAAAGUCUAACUUUGAAAAAAAACUGAAGAUACAUAACUAGGGAAUGCUAUAUGGGCGGCAGACAACCCCCAGCCCUGUUUGGAUAGGGGCUGUUCAAGGAGUUUUAUCCUACAUAACUGUUUUCCAUUGUACUUGAUUGUACUACAGUUUAAGCCACCAAGAAUAAAUAUUUUUCAUUGUAAGUUGUACUCAUUUUCAUUAUUAAUGUUGCAGGAAGACGUGGCUUUGAUCAAGAAAGUUGGUUUGGACUCUUAUAGAUUUUCAAUUGCAUGGUCGAGAAUCUUACCAUGUAUUGGACUCUACUUCUAUAAAAUUAAUUACAAAGAGAUUUUUUUUNNNNNNNNNNNNNNNNNNNNNNNNNNNNNNNNNNNNNNNNNNNNNNNNNNNNNNNNNNNNNNNNNNNNNNNNNNNNNNNNNNNNNNNNNNNNNNNNNNNNNNNNNNNNNNNNNNNNNNNNNNNNNNNNNNNNNNNNNNNNNNNNNNNNNNNNNNNNNNNNNNNNNNNNNNNNNNNNNNNNNNNNNNNNNNNNNNNNNNNNNNNNNNNNNNNNNNNNNNNNNNNNNNNNNNNNNNNNNNNNNNNNNNNNNNNNNNNNNNNNNNNNNNNNNNNNNNNNNNNNNNNNNNNNNNNNNNNNNNNNNNNNNNNNNNNNNNNNNNNNNNNNNNNNNNNNNNNNNNNNNNNNNNNNNNNNNNNNNNNNNNNNNNNNNNNNNNNNNNNNNNNNNNNNNNNNNNNNNNNNNNNNNNNNNNNNNNNNNNNNNNNNNNNNNNNNNNNNNNNNNNNNNNNNNNNNNNNNNNNNNNNNNNNNNNNNNNNNNNNNNNNNNNNNNNNNNNNNNNNNNNNNNNNNNNNNNNNNNNNNNNNNNNNNNNNNNNNNNNNNNNNNNNNNNNNNNNNNNNNNNNNNNNNNNNNNNNNNNNNNNNNNNNNNNNNNNNNNNNNNNNNNNNNNNNNNNNNNNNNNNNNNNNNNNNNNNNNNNNNNNNNNNNNNNNNNNNNNNNNNNNNNNNNNNNNNNNNNNNNNNNNNNNNNNNNNNNNNNNNNNNNNNNNNNNNNNNNNNNNNNNNNNNNNNNNNNNNNNNNNNNNNNNNNNNNNNNNNNNNNNNNNNNNNNNNNNNNNNNNNNNNNNNNNNNNNNNNNNNNNNNNNNNNNNNNNNNNNNNNNNNNNNNNNNNNNNNNNNNNNNNNNNNNNNNNNNNNNNNNNNNNNNNNNNNNNNNNNNNNNNNNNNNNNNNNNNNNNNNNNNNNNNNNNNNNNNNNNNNNNNNNNNNNNNNNNNNNNNNNNNNNNNNNNNNNNNNNNNNGAGAUGGAUAGCAACGCAGUUGCUAAUCUGCACCUUGUACUAGCAGAUGGAGUAUUGUCAAGUGUGGCAGAGAAAAAGACGACCAAAGAGAUAUGGGAUACGCUGACAAAGCUGUACGAGGCCAACUCGUUACACAACAAAAUCUUCUUAAAAAGAAAACUUUACACCCUUAGGAUGAUGGAGUCAACUACGGUGACAGACCACAUCAACACCCUCAACACUCUAUUUUCACAACUCACAUCAAUGGAGCAUAAUAUAGAGACUGGUGAACGUGCUGAAAUCUUACUUCAAAGUCUACCAGAUUCGUAUGAUCAACUCAUCAUCAACUUAACCAACAACCUUGAAACUCUAGUCUUCGAUGAUAUUGCAGCUGCUAUUCUUGAAGAGGAAAGUAGGCGCAAGAACAAGGAGGACAGAUUGACAAGUUCGCAUCAGGCGAAAGCUUUGACGAUGAUGAGAGGGAGAUCAAUGGAACGUGGCUCAAGUGGGAGUCAUAAUCGAAGGAGAUCAAAAUCCAGGAGUAAGAAAAAUGUCAAGUGUUAUUACUGUGGCAAGAAAGGGCACUUAAAAGGGGAUUGUUGGAGUCUCAAGAAAAAUGAAGAAGACAAAGGAAAAGGUCCUGAGACUUCAAAAUCUCAAAGUUGUGUAGCAAGAACCUCAAAUGAUGGUGAAAUUUUAUACAGCGAGGCAACUACAGUUGUUGAAGGCAGAAAGAAAUUUUCUGAUGUAUGGCUUAUGAAUUCAGGAGCUACAUGGCACAUGACACCAAGGAGGGAAUGGUUCAAUCAGUAUGAACCUAUCCCAGGAGGAUAUGUGUUUAUGGGAAAUGAUCAUGCCUUGGAGAUCGCUGGUAUUGGUACCAUCAAAUUGAAAAUGUAUGAUGGUACAGUUCGCACUAUCCAGGAGGUACAACACGUAAGAGGCUUGAUGAAAAAUCUGUUGUCUCUAGGGCAAUUGGACAUCAUUGGAUGCAAAACCCAUAUACAAGAUGGAAUCAUAAAGAUUUUCAAAGGCGCGCUUGUGGUGAUGAAAGCAGAAAAGGUAGCUACAAAUUUGUACAUGCUUAAAGGAAAAACACUACAAGAAGGAGAAGCAUUAGUUGCAUCAACAUGUUCAACAAAAGAAUUAACAAUGAUGUGGCAUCGCAAGCUUGGCCACAUGUCGGAACGUGGUUUGAAAAUUCUCUCAGAACAAAAGCUUCUUCCAGGGCUCAAAAAGGUUUCAUUACCCUUUUGUGAGCAUUGUGUUACUAGUGAGCAGCACAGAUUAAAGUUUAGCACUUCCACUGCUAGAAGUAAAGCUAUCUUGGAGCUGGUCCAUUCCGAUGUUUGGCAAGCACCGGUUAUAUCCUUAGGAGGUGCAGGAUACUUUGUAUCUUUUAUUGAUGAUUACUCCAGGAGAUGUUGGGUAUAUCCAAUCAAGAGGAAGGCAGAUGUAUUCGCAGUCUUCAAAAUAUUCAAAGCGCGUGUGGAACUUGAAUCUGAAAGGAAGAUCAAGUGUAUAAGGACUGACAAUGGAUGAGAAUAUACUUGUGAUGAAUUUGAUAACUUCUGUCAACAAGAAGGUAUCAAGAGACAGUUCACAGUGGCAUACACUCCACAGCAAAAUGGAGUGGCAGAGCGGAUGAACAGAACAUUGUUAGAAAGAACAAGGGCAAUGUUGAGAACUGCAGGGCUAGCCAAGUCAUUCUGGGCAGAAGCAGUCAAAACUACCUGUUAUGUGAUCAAUCGGUCGCCAUCAACCGCAAUUGAUUUGAAGACGCCUAUGGAAAUGUGGACUGGUAAACCAACUGAUUAUUCUCACUUACAUGUGUUUGGAAGUCCUGUGUAUGUUAUGUACAACACCCAAGAAACAUCAAAGUUAGAUCCAAAAUCCAGAAAAUGUAUUUUCUUAGGUUAUGCUGAUGGAGUGACGGGGUACCGCCUGUGGGAUCCCACUGCUCACAAGGUGAUAAUCAGCAGAGAUGUCAUAUUUGCGGAAGGCAAAAUAUAGGAAAAAGGAAAUGAUAGCACUUCAAAAGAAAAACUAAAGACUGCUACAGUCGAAGUUGGAGAUGAACGAGAUGUUAUAGAUUCUCCUGAAGCAACACUAGAGCAUGAAGAACAAGAACAAGCUGAGUCUAGUGCUCCAGAUGUUCGACGAUCAACUCGGGAGAGAAAAGAACCGGCUUGGCACUCAGAUUAUAUUAUGGAGGGCAAUGUUGCAUACUGCUUACUGACAGAAGAUGGAGAGCCAUCAACUUUCCAUGAGGCUAUAAAUAGUUAAGAAGUUUCUCUGUGGAUGGCAGCAAUGCAAGAAGAAAUUGAAGCUCUUCAAAAGAACAAGACAUGUGAUCUUGUUCCACUACCACAAAAAAGGAAGGCCAUUGGGAAUAAAUGGGUCUACAAGAUCAAACGAGAUGGCAAUGACCAAGUGGAGCGGUAUCGUGCGAGACUGGUGGUGAAGGGAUAUGCUCAGAAAGAAGGCAUAGACUUCAACGAAAUAUUUUCUCCUGUGGUUCGACUCACAACAAUUCGAGUAAUCCUGGCGAUGUGUGCUACAUUUGACUUACACCUGGAGCGGUUAGAUGUGAAAACUGCAUUUCCUCAUGGAGAACUUGAAGAAGAGAUUUAUAUGCUCCAACCAGAAGGUUUUAAAGAAAUAGGGAAAGAGAACUUGGUUUGCAGGUUGAACAAAUCUCUAUACGGUCUCAAAUAGCCGCCGAGAUGCUGGUAUAAGAGAUUUGAUUCCUUCAUCAUGAGCCUUAGAUAUAACAUACUCUGUUCAGAUCCAUGUGCAUACUACAUGAGAUUUGGUGAUAAUGAUUUCAUUAUCUUGCUGUUGUACGUUGACGACAUGUUGGUAGCAGGCCCCAACAAAGAUUGUAUUGAAAACCUGAAGGCUCAAUUGGCUAGGGAGUUUGAUAUGAAAGACUUGGGACCGGGAAACAAGAUUCUAGGGAUGCAAAUUUACCGAGAUAGAAAUAAUAGAAUGAUUUGGCUUAGUCAGAAAAACUACUUGAAGAAAAUCUUGCGUCGCUUCAAUAUGCAAGAUUGUAAGCCAAUUUCUACCCCUCUUCCUAUUAAUUUCAAGUUAUCCUCAAGUACGAGCCCUAGCAGCGAAGCAGAGAGGAUGGAGAUGUCUCGAGUGCCGUAUGCAUCAGCAGUGGGUAGUUUGAUGUUUGCUAUGAUCUGUACAAGACCAGACAUUGCACAAGCAGUGGGAGCGGUUAGUCGAUACAUGGCAAAUCCUGGUAAAGAGCAUUGGAGUACUGUGAAGAGGAUCCUGAGAUAUGUCAAGGGUACCUCAAAUGCUACAUUAUGUUAUGGAGGAUCAGACUUUAUUGUCAAAGGCUAUGUUGAUUCAGAUUAUGCAGGUGAUCUUGAUAAAAGCAAAUCCACCACAGGAUAUGUGUUUACUUUUGCUGGAGGAGCUGUAAGCUGGGUUUCGAAACUGCAGUCUAUCGUGGCUACUUCUACUACAGAGGCAGAAUACGUGGCAGCUACACAAGCCAGUAAAGAGGCAAUCUGGCUACAAAUGAUAAUGGAGGAGCUCGGACACAAACUAGAGAAGAUUGCUCUAUUUUGUGAUAGUCAGAGCGCUUUGCAUUUGGCAAAGAAUCCAACAUUUCAUCAGAGGACAAAGCAUAUUCGAGUUCAAUAUCACUUUGUUCGAGAGAAGGAGGAGGAAGGAAGUGUGGAUAUACAGAAGAUCCAUACAGCAGAUAACCUAGCAAAUAUGUUAACAAAGCCGAUCGGAACUAACAAGUUUAGAUGAUGUCGAUCCUCCAUCGGCCCAGCAGAAACGUAAGUAGCAUGGAAAAGGCAAGUAUUGGAAGGAUGAAGUGGUCAACAAAAGUGACUUUAAGUGGGAGAAAUGUUGAAUAUUAAAGCCACAAUUGUUGACUCCAAUAAAAAUUUUAGUAGAAACUUCAUGAAGAAGUUUUCAAGUUGCAAGUAACCAACUUGAAUUUGAAUUCCUUUCCACCAAUCACAACUUGGAAGUGGCAAAAUUGAAGUGAAACUCUCCUAGCUACCAUAAUUGACUAUUUAAGAAGAAAAUUUCUAUUGAAAUUCUUCUUGUUUUCAUGUAGAUACUUCCAUUAAGGAGGUUAACAAUUUCUAUAAAUAGAGGUAGAUGUGGGGAGAGAGAAUGCAAGCAACUUGAGAGGAAUUAGAGAGUAGAGAGAAGAUUGGGAGUAGAGGGAAAAAAAAUUAUUAGUUUCUCCUAAGUAUUACCUUCUUGUAUUCUCAUAUUACAAGAGAGAUUAAUUGUUGUUAUCUUCUUGUAUUUAGAGAGUGUUGUAAUUCUCCUACUAUAGUGAAAUCCUCCUAUACUUGCCCGUGGACGUAGCCUAAAUUGGGUGAACCACGUAAAUACUUGUGUCCAUUUUCAGCGCGAUUUCUCAAUUCCAUUUUGUUGUAAAGCCAAAGUCGACCCACGUUAUUUCUAACAAUAUAUAUAUAAUUCACAUGUUUGUUGUUUCUUUAAGAAGCUGAUGUUCAUUUUUAUUUAAUUAAUUCAUAAUUGGAAGUUCAUAGUUGAUAUGCCUUUGAAAUCAUUUAUCUUCUUAUAUGCUAUAAACAUAAAAUCAAAAGAUAUUAUCUUGAGUUCUCCUCAUUACUUUCGUGUAGGCAUUGAGCCGUGUGCAACUAUCUUCCACUGGGAUCUUCCCCAAUGUUUGGAAGAUGAAUAUGGUGGCUUCUUAGAUCAUCAAGUUGUGUAAGUAACUUCAUCUUGCAUCACAGGGAACAUCUUGUACUAUAUAUUUGACAAAGGAAUUAAGCAAAGUUAUUUUCUCAAAAACUAUGUUUCAAAGGAAAGAGCAGAAACGAUUUCUUCAAAGAAAAUGGAUACUAAUAAGUGAUAGAAUAAUGGCAGAAUGAUCUCUUGUAUAAAGAUUAAUGGCAGAUUUGUUUACACAGAUAUGUUUUGAUAUUAACUUGUUCCACAUUGCUAUUACAGAAAACAUUUUUGUGAGUUCGCUGAGGUUUGCUUUUGGGAGUUUGGUGAUCGAGUGAAACGUUGGAUCACACUGAAUAAGCCAUGGGCCUUCAGUUACUGUGGAUAUGUGAGGGGCAAUUUUUCCCCUCGUCGAGGAAAACCUCCUCCAAAUAAGGCGGAACCAGCGACGGGUGUCCAGGAUGGUGCAAAUUUAAUGGAUCAUGUGAUGAAUCUCCUGGGUGCAACAUCAAUGGAAGAACUUGCAGCAUCAAUUGAACAACUGUUGCGUAACUUGAUCCUUCAUCAUAGAAGUGCAAUACCUCCACUCACUCCUCCAUCUGAUAGAGAUCCGAUAACAGAACUGUUAGCUAUGCUGUUCAAUUUGCCUACUUGAAAGGAAUUCUGGGCAUAGAUCCAUUUGCCAUAGCACAAAAUGUUGCAGACCUUACUCCCGUGGGAGGAAUGCUGGGCACAUAACCAUUUUCUUUGGCAAACCAGUUUACAAACCUUACUUCCUCCACAGGAGUUCUGGGCACAGAACUUAGUUCCUUGAUACGAAUUAUUAGCACAGAAAUACCAGCUGUUAUGGCACACAUUUUUCCUUCGCUUACUUUCUUGAUACGAACUCUGUGCACAGAACUAUUUGUUACGGAUCCUGCCGCAGGAGAUCCGGGCCGAGAACCAUAUAUUGUGGCACACAAUUUGAUCCUUGCUCAUGCACAUGCGGUUAAUAUACAUUUUAACAUUUCACACAUAAAUAUAAAUAUAUACAGAUUCACACACCUGAAGUUUUAUAACAAUUAAUUGAUUAUAAAUAUUAACAACUUUGAACAUACAGGAACACCAAGGAGGCACAAUAGGAAUGACAAACGUUUCAACGUGGUAUUAUCCAUAUAGGGACAUCCCAGAGGAUGUAGAGGCUGCUUUGAGGGCGGUCGAUUUUAUGUUAGGAUGGUAAUUAGUUUUUUCGUUUAGUUUAUCAUUACUAUGAGUGAUUUUUCUGCAUCUCUAUAAAUUUUUAACUUUCCAAAUGCCUCGGAAGUUGUUAAAUUGAAUUCCAUUAUCAAAAAAUUCUUCUCCUCUUUCUUUGUUAUCCUUUAACCUGUUUUUACAUUUUUGGUGUUUGUAUAUUGUCUAAACCAUGUGCUCUUUUCCCAGAAUUCAUGAGAUUUCAUUUUUGUAGAAUUUCAGGUACGACAUCUAAUCAUAAUUAAAAAAAAUUUCACAUAUUUAUCCUGUUUCAGGUUUGUAGCCCCUGUAAUAACAGGUGAUUAUCCAUCAUCCAUGAAAAAAAAUGUAGGAGAACGUCUGCCCAUAUUUACACCAGAGGAGGUGAAGCUAGUGAAAGGUUCAUGCGACUUUUUGGGAAUAAAUUACCAUACGUCUUCUUAUGCCAAAAAUAUACCUAAGAAGCAUUGUUGACGACCACAUUAUGACAAUGAUCGGCACGUUGAAAAUCAUAGUGAGUAUUACGACCCUUUCUUGAGUUCAGUUAUAUUUUUUUAUCCUGACAUAAAGGAGACACUACAUGAGGCAACAUAUUUACUUCUCAUUCUUUUGUAGCUCAUCGUAAUGGGAAACCGAUUGGUGAACAGGUGAGUCAUCAAUGUUACCCUUCCGCAAGGAAAACAAAAAUAGAAAUUGGAAUUUAUCAUUCUAAUAAUUUAGGCAUAUCAACUAUUUAUGGUGAUGCAUUGUCACGUCAUAGAUUCGGAAUACAUAUUAUGGUUUACAUAAUUUCCAAUGCUUGCGUAUAUUCUAAUGUUAAUAACAAUCAUUUUAACUUUGCACCAGGAUGGCUCGUCAUGGUUGUACAUAGUUCCAGAAGGACUUUACCAUCUCAUGCUUCAUAUAAAGGACAGAUAUAAUGAUCCCGAGAUUUUCAUCACUGAGAAUGGUAUAUACACUCAUAUUUAUUAGUUUAUUUAUAUAUAGCAAGAAUACAUACUAAUUUUUCAGAUAAUUUAAUGGUUUGUUGAAAUCCUCCAUGAUCUUUUGUCGGGGUGGAUGAAGUUAACAAUAAAGCCAUAACAGUUACAAAAGCCCAUAUUGACCAAAAGAGGAUGAAGUAUCACAGGAGCCAUCUGGCAUACCUUAAGAAGGCAAUGGAGUAAGUCACUAUUUUUUUUUUUUUGUUGCAUAAAUAAUCAUUAAAAAAAAAUGUAAGUUCUGAGAUUAAUCAACUAAUUUUCUUCUGUUUUCAGGCAUCAUGUGCGCGUGAAGGGUUACUUCAUAUGGUCAUUGCUUGAUAAUUUUGAACGGGCCCAGGGUUACAAUUCUAGAUUUGGCAUUUUUUAUCUGGACUACGAGAAUGGACGUUUGACAAGAUUCCCAAAAACCUCAGCUGUAUGGUGGAUGAAUUUCCUUGAAAAUCCUAAGAAUCCAUGGAAUAGACUUCCAUUGAAGCUACAGGAUGUUGAAACUGAAGAAGAACGACAUGGUCCUGCAAAAAAGCCAAGAAGCGGCGUUGCUUAAAGUCAACAAUUACUAUUUUACUGCUUCCUUACUGAAUUAUAUUGUUGAAUAAUGCUAGCAUGGAUGCAUGCUUGAUGUUCCUUUAGUUUCUUCCUGAAUUCUCUCCUGGGAAGAGAAAUAAAUAAAUGCUGUAACUUAAUAGUCAUUAUGCUCAAAUAAUUGGAACCCUCUGAGGCUCUAAGUGUAACUCUGUUGUUUUCGGUUUGUGCAAUAAAAGAUUUGAGACCGGCUUGCUCCAAUUCUUGUAAAUUAGUAUACUAUUUUGUUCUUUUUAAUUACAGAAAGUUGCUGCAGGCCUCCUGACCUUUGCAAUGUAUAUUUUGUUAGUGCCAUUCUCAACCUUUCCAAAUUGGGAUUGUCACUAGUUUCGUAUCCCAUAACCAGUUGAAAGAAGGAUUUUAUUCUGGUUAUACCACUUGACUUAUCUCAUCAUAUGGGCAGUGAUUGCUUAAAUCUCGCAAGUGUACGGUAUCGUAGUCAAAUCAUAUGGUGUGAGAAAGUAUCGCUUCCAUGAAAACUAAGUAGUACUUAAUUUGAUUUCAAUUAAUAUUAACUCUAAUUGAAUAGCACAAUAUUGAUAAUAACUAAUUUAAUAUAUAACUAAGGGUCCAUUUGAUUGCAAAGAUGGAAAGGGCAAACUAAUUUCAUGUAAAUUGGAAAAGAAAAAACCACUAAAACCAUAGGAAUGCAUUUUCAUGGAAUUGGUCAAAAAUAUGCUUAAAGUAUUUUUACUUUGGAAUUCAAACUCCGUUUCCACUUUUGUAUCAAAUAGCCAAAGUAGAAAACGAAUUUUUCGGAUGUGACAUUUUCCAUGUAAUUAACUCCAAUCAAACGGACCCUAAGUGUAAAUAGGUUAAACUACUAAAAAGGAUUUAUGAACUAGAUGACCAAUGUAGCUACUUCAUUUAAUAAUCUCUCUCUAGCAAUAAUAGACAUAUCCUCACAUGUGAACCUAUACAUCUCAGUAAGGAGGAUUGUGAACAUGUGAAAAUGCAUUUAAUCACUAGAACAUAUAAUUAAAUCAUGCAAAUCAUGCGUGUAUAUCUUUAGCCCCUAUUGGACUCUAAUUGAUCGAUAUCACAUGCUAAUCCUUAUUCAUCCUCUAGAUUAAAAUAAGUAUCAUGAUCAAUUCAAUUAGGGAUUAAUUAAUUAAAAGGAUUAAUAUAAUGAUAAUCAUUCAAGCUAAACAAGUACCAACGUCAAAGACUUGAAAUUGAGAUUAAACAUCACUUCAUAUCGUUCAUCGCCAUCCGAGUGACUAGAAAAUUUAGUCGAGCGUCAUAAAUUAAUAAAACAAAAGAUGGAAUAUUGAGACAUCACCCCACUUUUAAUUAUAGAAAGAAAAAGGAAAAAUAAUCUUGAACUGUUGAAUUUAUUCAAUGAUUCUCAACCAAUCCUCGUAUAUCUUCUUCUUCACCCAAAAUCAAUAGUUAAUUUAUUGUCUUGUGUAGGAGUAAUCCAAACUCUAGAAUCAAUACAUUGCAUCCCCUCUUAAUUCUGUUGAAGUAUGAUAUCCUUUCGGAGAAAAAAUCAAAAUAAAAAAAAUCACAUCACAUGAUGUUGCCUCACUUACAACGACAUUUUAUUUUGGACCCACUCUUGUGACAAAUCCAACCAUAGUACUAUAUUUGUAGCCAUUACACUGGCCAGGCUAGAAGGUGGUAUGCGAUCAAAUUAUACUUUAGUCUGAAAAUCACAUGCAUGCUUUAGGACAUACAUUUGGAUCCAUCUGCCGAGGGUAAUGUGUGUUUCAAUAUAUAUACACACCAAAAAUAUUAUUAGAACGAAUGUGACACCUGAUUAAAGAAGCAAUAAAAAAUUAGUAUUCCCUUUAAAUUUUUUUUUUUUUUUUUUUUUACAAAUUAUGAGAAUCCAUGUGGGUCUACAGGAAAUUAAACCUAUGCUCUGAUACCAAACUAUAACGACCCAAAUUUAAUGACGGAGGAACUCACAGCCGCUACCAUUCGGAUGCGCACUAGGUAAACCCUCGGGCUGACGUAAUAGCUUGCAAAUCACGUCAACCAGGUAAAUCGUACUAGGCAAGCCCGAUGCGACGGACUCGAUUGAGAAAAUAUUGGUAUGAGGAAUCGAACUCGCGAACAAAAGUCUUCGCUCACCAAGGGCGGACGCAGAAAUUUUUAGUUGGGGGGCACAAUCAAACUUUAUACAAAUCGAAUAAUUUGUUUUUUAUUUUUGAAUGAUUUAUACUCGAACUGAGAAAAUGCAGAUUUACAUUUAAAAAGCAUUUCUUCAUUAAAAUUUUGCUCAUCAUUUUCAUCAUUUUGAUUUCGAAUAGUCAUUUUUUUCUCAUCACAAGAAAAUGCAUAUUUAUGUUUCAAAAAUUUAUAAUGUAUUUAAUACAAACAAUCAAUUCAAGUGAUCAAAAGGAAAAAUAUAUUACCAAUAUUCAAUCAAAAAAAUACAAUUCGUUAAAUUGGAUAUAAUCACUCCUGAUACAUUCUAGGUACACAAAUAAGAUAGGAGAAAAUGUCAAUUUAGGUUCUAAUUAAUUGAAAUUUUGAUUGGAAAGUGAAAAUUUACAGUAGAUGUGAUAAUUUGUAGAAAAAUUAUGGACAAAUUUUUAAAAAUUAGAAGGAUUAAAGAUUUGAUAAAAAGUGUGAGAGAGAGCAUAAGAUAGAGUAAGAGAAAAGAGAAAAAAAUUUCAAAUUUAUUGUGAUUUUGCCCACGUUUGGUAGAGUUUUAAAAUUAGAUUUUAGUAUAUUUUAAUAAAAGUAAAAAAGUUAAGGAUUCCAUGAAAUAUGUUAUUAAGAUUAAUUGCUAACUUUGAUUUAGAUUAAAAUUUAGAUUUCAAUUGAUACCUUCCUCACUUUUUAUAAUGUUUGUCAUUUUUUUUUUGAAUUUUUUAAAUUUCCGUCACUUUUUUCACUUUAUUGAAUUUCUAUCACUUUCAACUCAUAGAGCAUUGUGUUCCUAAAAUGAAGUGAAACAUGUAGAAAAAAAUCAACCACCCGUGGAUCUAUUCUAAGGCUUUGAUUUGUGUUUCUCGCUUUUUGGAAUGUGCGUCAUUUUUUAAUUAAAAAGUGACACUUAACUUUGCAUAAAAAAAUUUACGUUCAAAACACUUUUCAUAUGAUUUUUCAAAAGACCCCAUAAUUUUAAGGAUAUUUUGAAAAUUCCUCUUCUAGCAAACCAAUGGUUAGGCCAUAAGACCAAUGAACCUAUUCUACACGUUUAAUUGAAACUCAUCGCAAUAUUAAUGCUUCAUCACAUUUUGUUCCUACAAAAACAACACUAAUGUAACUUUUUAGACGCACACAUUGUGAUUCCAAUUUUUAUUUUCUUCACUUUAUUUCCUAUUGAAAUCUUUACCUUGCUUGUUUCUAUUCGCUGUAUGCAAUAUCAUUUUAAUUUCCCUUUGUUGCCUUUAAUUUUUUCUUGCUUUCCAAUUCUUUCCACCUUUUAUUUACCCUAUAUUGCCAUAUCACCUUUACUCUACAAGGAAAAUAUAUAUAAAAAAAAGGUCAAUUUAAAAAUUGGAAUCUCAAUCUUUUUAAUUCAAACAAGUUAUUCCUCAUCCUUUCCUCUAUAUUUUUUGUAUUUUUUAAGCUUGCUUAUAUUUUCACUAUUUAUAAGAGAAUGGUAUUUACUAAAUUCACCUCUCUAAAGACAUUUGUGAUUGACGGGAUGUUGAGCACACAUCACAUCUUUCAUUACAGUCCAAAAUUCAUUUGGAUUAUAUUUCGGAGUAAAAACAUGGACUCAUGUAGACCCAAGUGUCCUUUGCCUAUGAAAAUGUGCACUAUCUGCACCUAAAUAGAAAGACCCUAUAAAACUUUACUGUUCUCUUUGAUUAGGUUUGGGCUAGUCAACAAUUGACGAAAUGCAUUAGAAUAAUAUCUUCCUCCUCUUUUUAAACAACAAAUGUUUUUAAAAAUAAAUAAACAUUUUCAAUAAAAUUAAUCAUUGACAUGAAAUUCAAAAUAUUACAUUCGAUUUAAACUGCGCUUCCUAACUACCUAUUUACAGUGAGUUAUUUAAUUAUAAUUAAAAAUUUUAAAUUCUUUCAUGUUAAAAAAUUGCUUUUACAAAUCCAACAUAAGACUUACCACCGAUUGAGAUAUAAAAAAUAAAAAAGAAAAAAAAGCCCAAUAUUAGUUUAAAAACUGCUCCACUAAAUGACUGAAAUUGCACUUCAUGAUUGCACAUUUACUUCAAUAAUUAAGAAUUCAAUCUAUAUCAUUCUAUUACCCAUUUAAAUUGGUAACAAGUUCCAUUAAUUUAGUUGUUAUUUUAUCCUAAAUUGGUAACAAGUUCCAUUAAUUUAGUUCACCUUUCAGUUUCCCAUUAAUCCAAAAUCAAUACACUCGAACAGUAGAACCAUAUUUAAUGUUGAUUCACUCAUGCACGAGAAUAUCUAUUCACAACUAGAAACCAUCCAAUGAAUAUCUCAUGCAAAUUCUACAAUACUUGAAGAGUUAUAAUUUAAUAAAUAUUUUCAAGAAGUCAAAAAUUUAUCGACUUAGUAUUUCAAAGAGCAACCCAAAUAGAAAAUAUCUGUAAACAAAAAUUAUAAAUAACUCAAGAUGCCUAAUUGGGAAAAUCUAAGAAAGGCCAAGAAGUAAUGAGAAGGAAGUAAAGAAUGACUUAAAGCUGCAUACAUAUUUUAUUUCUGUACUUGCAUUUACUUUAAUAAAGAAGUAUUUAUGCCUUUCCCCAUUAUAUUAUAAUUACUUUGUGCUUCUUGUCAAAUUGUAUGGUAUAAGCAUUCAAAAAUCCAGUUUAUAAAUAGAGUGCAUGAACUAGAGGAACCGCACACUUCUCUCAACUAACUAUAAUAUCUCAUCUUGCUCAUUCCAAUGGAGUCCUCCCAAUCUUAAGUUAAACGCUCUAAUUUUCCCAAGAAUUUUAUUUUCGGUGCUGCAACAUCGGCAUAUCAGGUGUGUAACUAACUAGUUUAUAUUUUCAUAUACUGUAUCAAGCAAUAAUGAAAAAAGAAUGGACAAGAUUUUAACUUUUUUUACUUUAUUAUCACUGUCCUUUAUUAUUACAUACACCUUAUCAAACAUACCAUUUAUUUGAAAAUAAUUAAAAUUCUCUAACAUCAUCAUCAAAAUGCAUGACUACGUAUCUAAGAGAUUUGUGAUGGACCAACCAACUCCUCGUGACAUCUAUAUGUGUAUUCAAUGUAACAUUACUUAAGUUUUUCAUACUAUUAAGUCAGAUGGAUUCCACCCAAAUCUAGAUCAAAUGGUCUAAUUUUUGUAAGGUUUUAUCUUAGGUGCUGCAACAUCAGCGUAUCAAAUGUAUGUAAUUGGUAUGUUUUAGUAUGUUGCAUCAAAUAGUAUUGGACCGAAAGGACAAUACUUAAUCUAUUAUUACUUCAUUAAUAUUGUCCAAUAUUAUUAAAAUACAUCUUAUCCAAUAUUAUAUUACGUUAAUGUUUGAAAAUAAUGAAGAAUCACUUAAACCAUCAUGAGAACGCAUGAAUGCAUAUGUUAGAAGGUCCAUUCACAUGUAAUAAUUUGGUUGUUUCUUCUUAAUUUCUGGAUAUAUAAUUUCUUUUAUGGAUUAUGUAUUUAAUUACUGCAGGUCGAAGGUGCUUGGAAUGAAGGUGGUAAAGGCAGGAGUAAUUGGGACGUAAUGACUCUACAUUCACGUGGUCUCUCUCUCUCUCUCUAGUAUUUUAGUGUCUGUGUGCAUUAAUUUGUUGAUGUUAAUAUAAUCCUGGGUCGAACAAAUAUAAAAAUAUUAACCAACAUAUAAAAACUAUUCUUUUAACAAUGUUGACCUUUUAAGAUGAAAUCCGUAUUCUCAUAUAGAGCCAACAAGCUCAAACAUCUAUCUGAAGCUACAGAUGUCAAUCCCGCUCGAGAGGCCCACGUCUCAGCCCAUAAAAAGCCUGAGCCGAGGCAAGGCUCGUGGCUUGGUGGAACCAUUUUACCCUUUUCUUUUUCUUUUUCUUUUUUUUUUUCAUUCGGGAUAUAGAUUAGUCAUGUAUUUGUUUUUACUUGAUUUUUUUCUUUUACGUUUUUGGGUCAUUUUAUUGAUUUCUUCUGCUAUCUAUUAUUAAUAUCGCGAUGAACAGGAAUAUCUCUUCUUUUUCCUUUUUUCACCCCCAGCUUUCUGCCAUUGCAAACACGGUUUAGACAUAUUUUUGUCAACAUUUAUUCAUCUAAUGAAUUACAAGAUAGACUUCUUGGUAUACUCAUGGAUAAUGUCGAUGCCUUUUAGAUCCAUCAUUUGAGUAAUUCAUAGCUAUUGGCGCACAUUAUAGUAGUUAUGGCAGAAUGGUGGAUCACAGCUUGGUCAAGGUGUGGAAAUUUUUCCAUCCAAGAUAGGGUCCCUAAAACUGAUGCUGUUACAUGGGAAUUUGGAUAUUUGUGUUAACGAAGCUCAAAAUCUCCCAAACAUGGAUUUAUUCGACAAGAAGCUAGUGAUAUUUGCUUCAGGUGGUGCUUGCAGGCUGCUGCCAGUACAAAUUAUAUUAUAAAAUAAAAAAAGAGUAGGCCCGGGCUCGCCCCAAGUCUAAAAGCUAGAACCAAGCCUUGGUUUUUUCUUUUGCUUGGCUCGGCUCUGGCCAGAAAACCUCAAGCCGUUUUAUGCUCAAACUGCACCUGAACCGUGAUCUUCAACUCACAAGCCAGCUUGACUCAACUCGUUUACAUCUCUAUCUGAAGCUCUCAAACAAGCAUUUGGAUUUUAAGAAUGAUGUUUCAAGCUAGUUCACUAUCCUAUGGAGGCACGUUAAAGCAUAAUCUCAUAUCAGUUAUAUAUACAAUAUUAAUCAACAUAAGGACAUGUGCUACUUAUUUUAAUAAAAUUAAAGUUAUAGGACGACACCCCUCAUUCUUAAUAAUAUACACAUAAGCACGUGUUAGUUUAUACACAUACUAGAAUUGUACUUGUGUUUUUUUAUACAAUGAUCAUUGGUGAGCAUGUAUUUAUGUUUACUAAUUGGAGUGGCAGAUAGCACUGCCGAUGGUAGAAAUGGGUGUGUUACUCUUGAUCACUAUAACUUGUUCAAGGUAUAUGUACUUCAUUUAAUUUUCUUGUGGCAAAGUGAUGGUAAUUACUUUAGUGGACUAAUAUAAAUGGAAAAUAAUCUCAAAUCUAAGAAGUAAUAAGAGGAACUUUAGAGUGUAUUUGAGCCACAUUCUUUUUAAAGAAUGUAUUUUGGAAUAUUUGAUUGGUGGAGAAUGUGUGGUUAAAAAUGAAGGAAAAUUUUUUGAUUUGUGUGUAAUAUUAGUUUAACAACUGAAGAGAAAAUGAAUUGGACUUUCAACUUUAAAUGAAUUAAGAGGACAUUAUAAAAAAUGUCCAUUUUGACAUAGUCAUUGGCAAAAAUGUCCAAAAUUUUUUAAUGUCUAUUUUUGCAAUUAUUUGGACGAGAGUACUCCUAAGUAGCUUCCAUAAAAAGUUACAUUAAAAUGAUGUUCUGGACAUUUCAAAUGUCGUUUUUGAUAUUUGAAUUCAUUUAUAUUUCAAAAGUACACAUGUCAAAUCACAAUAUUAAAUGUUCUCGAUAUUUCAAACAUUGUUCUCGACAUAUUAAAUGUCUAAAAGGAUAUUUCAUUUCAAACAUGAUAUUUCUCUACACUUUAAAUGUUGAUCUCGAUAUUUCUGUGUUUGGCAUUAAUUGCAAUUUGACAUAUGCAAUAUGAAGUUAUUUAUUCUCUCAUAAAGGGUAAAAUAGAGGAUUUGGUAUCAAAUUUGGCCAUUUUUGCAAAGAUUAUCAAAAGUGGACAUUUUCGAAUUAAUAUAUGUAAAAUUGGACAUUUUUUGCCAAUGUGUCAUGAAUUAAAUGAUUCUUGGUAAGCAACAAUAACAUUAAUUCGUCCCCAAUAUUCAAAAUGAUAAAUUCAUGACCACCAUUUCGAACCUAACGUUUAAGAUGUGUUGAUACUUUGUUAGCACUUGAAGUCAAAAAGUCUAACUUUGAAAAAAAACUGAAGAUACAUAACUAGGGAAUGCUAUAUGGGCGGCAGACAACCCCCAGCCCUGUUUGGAUAGGGGCUGUUCAAGGAGUUUUAUCCUACAUAACUGUUUUCCAUUGUACUUGAUUGUACUACAGUUUAAGCCACCAAGAAUAAAUAUUUUUCAUUGUAAGUUGUACUCAUUUUCAUUAUUAAUGUUGCAGGAAGACGUGGCUUUGAUCAAGAAAGUUGGUUUGGACUCUUAUAGAUUUUCAAUUGCAUGGUCGAGAAUCUUACCAUGUAUUGGACUCUACUUCUAUAAAAUUAAUUACAAAGAGAUUUUUUUUUUUUAAAUGAAUGUAGUGUCCUUCUAUAAAAAUCCUCUCUAGGCAAGGUGGACAAGAUUCAGGACAAUAUAAAGUUUACUGUCUACAUUGAGAAGGAAGACUAGAGUUUCUAAAUGGACUAGAGAUCCUCGUCAACUUUGUCUAGAUUUCGAGUUGCCCAGACGGUUCGAAAUUCAUGGAAAGAGAGAAAUUUAGUAAAACAUUUGAUGAGGAAGUGAUAUCUUUAGAACGAAUGACAAAAAAUUUGAAAAGUAGAAGUUAUUUAGAAAACGAGUAGUCUCUAAUAUGACCUUUCCAUGCGAUUUCCUUAGAUUUUAAUAUCAAGUAAAGAUUCCAUGUUUGUAUUUCCAUUUGUAUUUAAAUUAUAUUAAUAUUUUAGGUUGUAGACUCUGCGCUGGCAUAAGUAAAGAAUGAAUCAAGUACUAUAACGACCUCAUAGAUGCACUUUUGGCAGAAGGUUAGAUUCCGAUAUAUAUAAAAUUCACACUUUUAUUAUUUCUUCAAGAAGCUGAUGUUCAUUUAUAAUUAAUUCAUUCAUAAUUGGAAGUUCAAGAGUUGAUAUGCCUUUGAAAUCGCUUAUCUUUUUAUAUGCCGUAAAUAUAAAAUCAAAAGAUAUUAUCUUGAGUUCUCCUCAUUACUUUCGUGUAGGCAUUGAGCCGUGUGCAACUAUCUUCCACUGGGAUAUUCCCCAAUGUUUGGAAGAUGAAUAUGGUGGCUUCUUAGAUCAUCAAGUUGUGUAAGUAACUUCAUCUUGCAUCACAGGGAACAUCUUGUACUAUAUAUUUGACAAAGGAAUUAAGCAAAGUUAUUUUCUCAAAAACUAUGUAUCAAAGGAAAAAGCAGAAACGAUUUCUUUAAAGAAAAUGGAUAUUACUAAUAAGCGAUAGAAUAAUGGCAGAAUGACCUCUUGUAUAAAGAUUAAUGGCAGAUUUGUUUCCACAGAUAUGUUUUGAUAUUAACUUGUUCUAAAUUGCUAUUAUAGAAAAUAUUUUUGUGAGUUUGCUGAGGUUUGCUUUUGGGAGUUUGGUGAUCGAGUGAAACGUUGGAUCACACUGAAUGAGCCAUGGGCCUUCAGUUACUGUGGCUAUGUGAGAGGCAAUUUUCCCCCUCGUCAAGGAAAACCUCCUCCAAAUAAGGCGGAACCAGAGACGGGUGUCCAGUAUGGUGCAAAUUUAAUGGAUCAUGUGAUGAGUCUCCUGGGUGCAACAUCAAUGGAAGAACUUGCAGCAUCAAUUGAACAACUGUUGCGUAACUUGAUCCUUCAUCAUAG